AAAAUACUGGAGAGUAUAUUAGUCACUAUUGCCAAAUUCAACAGUAUCAUUGAGGGUAGAUGAGAGUGCAUCUUUGAAAGGGAGGAAAUAAUUUUUUACAGAUUUCCCUGCCUCUGUAGUUUCCGGCUUUUGAACUAAAAAUGAAAUAUAAUUAAAUUCCUAUCACAAUUUAUUUUCUCCUAAGUGAUCUAGAGGAAUAUGCAGAGUUAUAUUUUGAUAGUUGUCACUGAAGAAAGGAAAUGAACAUAUAAUGAGCAAUCUCUUCAUGCCAGGACUUUAUUUGGGUCAAUUCUUGAUGAGGACUCUACUUGGAUGUGUUAUUGGACUUGGGGGAAAGUAGCAGCCUCAUCAUGGAUGGCACCACUGUAAACUCUGCCCACUGGAGUUCCUUCUUCGGCUUUUGAUAAACUUCAGCAUUAAGAGUUCUAUUCAGAACUCACAUCCAUCUCUGGAUGUGUUUCUCAAGUCUGACCCAAGAACCCUCCACAAGAGAAUCAACAAGGAUGACUCUAUAAAGAAGAGAUUCCUGACCCUUCUGGAAAGGGAUUAUGAUAUGGUAAGUCUUGUGUGGCAUCCAGGAAUCUGCAUUUAACCAAUUUCCCAAGAGGUCGUGAUCAAAAUGAAAAUGGAAAACACUGUUCUAGAAAUAUCUUUAACUUUCCCCAAAAUUAGCAGUGUCUAUCAAUUAUA
RNAcentral lists this long non-coding RNA (690 nucleotides) under Capra hircus (goat). RNAcentral describes it as "lncRNA (ENSCHIG00000005861.1)". The record is from RNAcentral. Lineage: Eukaryota; Metazoa; Chordata; Mammalia; Artiodactyla; Bovidae.